GAUGAACGCUGGCGGCGUGCCUAAUACAUGCAAGUCGAGCGAACAGACGAGGAGCUUGCUCCUCUGACGUUAGCGGCGGACGGGUGAGUAACACGUGGAUAACCUACCUAUAAGACUGGGAUAACUUCGGGAAACCGGAGCUAAUACCGGAUAAUAUAUUGAACCGCAUGGUUCAAUAGUGAAAGACGGUUUUGCUGUCACUUAUAGAUGGAUCCGCGCCGCAUUAGCUAGUUGGUAAGGUAACGGCUUACCAAGGCAACGAUGCGUAGCCGACCUGAGAGGGUGAUCGGCCACACUGGAACUGAGACACGGUCCAGACUCCUACGGGAGGCAGCAGUAGGGAAUCUUCCGCAAUGGGCGAAAGCCUGACGGAGCAACGCCGCGUGAGUGAUGAAGGUCUUCGGAUCGUAAAACUCUGUUAUUAGGGAAGAACAAAUGUGUAAGUAACUAUGCACGUAUUGACGGUAACUAAUCAGAAAGCCACGGAUAACUACGUG
RNAcentral lists this ribosomal RNA (497 nucleotides) under uncultured bacterium. RNAcentral describes it as "partial 16S ribosomal RNA". It matches the Rfam family "Bacterial small subunit ribosomal RNA", at positions 28 to 507 of the family's 1533-position model. The record is from RNAcentral.